AGGGCUGUGGCUCAGUGGUAGAGCAUCUGCUUUGCAUGCAGAAGGUCCCAGGUUCAGUCCCUGACAAUCUUG
This is a non-coding RNA of Podarcis lilfordi (Lilford's wall lizard), 72 nucleotides long. The record is from the annotation of a GenBank genome assembly. Lineage: Eukaryota; Metazoa; Chordata; Lepidosauria; Squamata; Lacertidae.